UCACCCCUCAAGCCCCCUCUGGCUUGGUGUUGGACGGUUUGGUUUUGGCGACAAGACCCCUCCUAAAGCGAAUGACGGCGGCCUGUGCGACCCCCGGUACAUGGAGCUUCUAACCGAGCACGUACCGGCUUCAGGGUCGACAGGACCCGGUCUUCUCCCGCAUGGGAAAAUUCUUUCCAAA
Molecule: unclassified non-coding RNA, 181 nt
Filed under: uncultured Herpotrichiellaceae
Lineage: Eukaryota; Fungi; Ascomycota; Eurotiomycetes; Chaetothyriales; Herpotrichiellaceae
Description: sequence contains ITS2
Source: RNAcentral